This 539-nucleotide ribosomal RNA is filed under the name uncultured bacterium. RNAcentral's name for it is "bacterial SSU rRNA". It matches the Rfam family "Bacterial small subunit ribosomal RNA", at positions 8 to 526 of the family's 1533-position model. The record is from RNAcentral.
AGAGUUUGAUCAUGGCUCAGAAUCAACGCUGGCGGCGUGCCUCAGUCAUGCAAGUCGAACGCGAAAGUUCCCUUCGGGGGGCGAGUAGAGUGGCGCACGGGUGAGUAACACGUAGGUAAUCUACCUUCGGAUGGGGAAUAACAACCGGAAACGGUUGCUAAUACCGCAUAAUGCAGCGGCACCUAAUGGUGACAGUUGUUAAAGCGGGGGAUCGUAAGACCUCGCGUCUGGAGAGGAGCCUGCGGCGGAUUAGCUAGUUGGUAAGGUAACGGCUUACCAAGGCUAUGAUCCGUAGCCGGCCUGAGAGGGCGGUCGGCCACACUGACACUGACAUACGGGUCAGACUCCUACGGGAGGCAGCAGUCGGGAAUUUUGGGCAAUGGGCGAAAGCCUGACCCAGCAACGCCGCGUGAAGGAUGAAAUCCUUCGGGAUGUAAACUUCGCAAGAACGGGAAGAAUAAGCCGGUAUUAACACCACCGGUGAUGACGGUACUGUUUGUAAGCUCCGGCUAACUCCGUGCCAGCAGCCGCGGUAAUAC